Long non-coding RNA from Leguminivora glycinivorella, 663 nucleotides. RefSeq lists it as uncharacterized. The record is from RefSeq and is a predicted model, not a curated record. The transcript has 3 exons. Lineage: Eukaryota; Metazoa; Arthropoda; Insecta; Lepidoptera; Tortricidae.
UUGAAUGAAACACUUCCUUCUCGUUCAUUGCAUUAUCUGUUGCAUUUCAAAUGCAAAUAUUUAUGUUUAUCUGUUGUAGGGUUGCCAUACAACAAGUAUUAUUCGAAAUUGUAGGUAUUCUGGCUGUCAUUCCAGAAAAACUUUGUAUUAUUUUGAUAUAGUUUAGGUAUUGAUUUUUGGAAAAUAUAAUAUUUUAGAAACAUGAUAACAAAUGUUAUCGUAGGUUUUAUAAGGCUGUUCUGGAAUGACAUUUGUUGGGUUUUGUUUACUUCAAGGUCUGAUACAGAAACUGGAGUAAUUUUCAUUUAAUUAAUUAGAGAUUUUUAUUGUUUAUUCGUUUGCCACCCGGCUUUUGUUUUGGGUCCUUUAAAUUCGAGAUCAUUCAGUGCGGCGUUCUUUUUGUAACGAGAUCCUCUUGCAUAGUGAUCGGACGGCCGUAUAAGGGCCUGGAGCCCGGCAUGCCACGUGCUGCCGUGGCGUUCCAUAUUUUGUGUGGUGCGUUCUGUCAGUCUGACUGGCAGAAACAUGCUAAGGGUGGGAGUGCUCCGUGGAGAUCCUCGGUCUGCAGUCUGCAGGUCUUCGGAGUCGGGCAGAAUUACAGAAGUAGAAUUUAACAAGAACUUUUACAAUUUUGAUGUGCAAGGAAACUUUCUUUGGCGUUAC